This is a non-coding RNA of Cyanistes caeruleus (blue tit), 322 nucleotides long. The record is from RefSeq and is a predicted model, not a curated record. Lineage: Eukaryota; Metazoa; Chordata; Aves; Passeriformes; Paridae.
CUCACAGAUCUUAAUUCUGUUGAUCUCAUUAAAAGCAAUCUGAGGUGCUGUUCAGCUUUCAGUUCUGCGCAGCACACUCACCCAGGAAGGAACCAGAGAAACUAAACUGGCAGCAACAAUCUUGAAGCUAGAUCAUAUGUAAGGCACAGAGAAUCUUGCUGCUGUGAGUUCUGCUUUUCACGAGGAUGCAGAUAAAAAAGGGAUGAUCCCUUUAAGAGUUUGAUAGGUUAAGUCACGAAAUUCAUAUCUCACACACCAGGCAAAAAAAUAUGCCAGCAACUGCUGGGAAAAUGACAACUGCAGUGUCUGAUCGCUUGUCAAA